This 69-nucleotide transfer RNA is filed under the name Cyrtodactylus agusanensis (Mindanao bow-fingered gecko). Its description in RNAcentral is "tRNA-Ala". It matches the Rfam family "tRNA". From Rfam's summary of the family: Transfer RNA (tRNA) molecules are approximately 80 nucleotides in length. Their secondary structure includes four short double-helical elements and three loops (D, anti-codon, and T loops). The record is from RNAcentral. Lineage: Eukaryota; Metazoa; Chordata; Lepidosauria; Squamata; Gekkonidae.
GAGGCUUUGGCUUAAAGAUAAAGUGUCUGAGUUGCAAUCAGAAGAUGUAGUGCUAAGAUACAGGCCUUC